Molecule: ribosomal RNA, 443 nt
Filed under: Orgilus sp.
Lineage: Eukaryota; Metazoa; Arthropoda; Insecta; Hymenoptera; Braconidae
Description: eukaryotic LSU rRNA
Source: RNAcentral
GAAACCUAAAAGAUCGAAUGGGGAGAUUCAUCGUCAGCGUAUUUAGUAUAUAUGCAAGUUACGAUAUUAUUAAUUAUCCUUGUGGUAAUUUUUGUACGUGCUUGUAUUAUUUUAUUGCUGAAUAUCGUCGGCGUGCACUUCUCCCCUAGUAGAACGUCGCGACCCGUUAAGUGUCGAUCUACGGCCCAGAUGGUAGUCUUUGAUAUAAUUUAUUUAAUGUUGAAGACCACUGGUGUUUCCUGAUCGGCUGCUUGACGGUAUAUAAUAUGGUAUUGAGUCGCAAAAUUUUUUUUUGCGUUAAACUCACCACAAGCACGAUUAGUUAUCUGGUAGUGCGGACCUAGUGCCGUCGCUGGAGCUUGUCUGCUGUUAGUUGGUGAUGUUCUUUAACUGGCUCAAAUAUAAAAUACCGGUCAGCGAUGCUACUGCUUUGGUACUUUCAG